AACCUAAUUGUUUAUGGCUCGAUUGAUUAGAUCCUGAAAUAAUGGUGUAGAAUGUUAUUCACUAAUACAAAAAAAAAUGCAGCCAUGUAGGAACCAAUUCUUUUCUUCUUUGCAGGACUAGUUUGAUUUGACAAAAGAAAAAUGCUUAGCUAGCAGGACUAGUUUAAUUUGACAAAAGAAAAAAAACUUAGCUAUUCUUGUUUUUCAAACCUAGAUCUUUUUGGCAUAUCAGCUAAAGAUCUGUACUUACGAAAUCUUUCCUGUUACUCAGGCUUUGUUCUACUCUGCUUUACGAUGCUCACGAGAAAUGCUUGUUGUGAAUGAUGGGUCAAAAAACCUCAUCCGUGCCGUUAACAACAGGCUCAGUGCAUUGUCCUUUCAUAUAAGAGAAUACUACUGGGUUGACAUGAAGAAGAUAAAUGAGAUAUACAGAUACAAGACAGAAGAAUACUCCCAUGAUGCAACUAACAAAUUCAACAUUUACCCUGAGCAAAUCCCUUCCUGGCUUGUUGACUGGAUUCCUGAGAAAGGAGGUUACCUUAUUGGGAAUCUGCAGCCAGCUCACAUGGAUUUUAGGUUCUUCUCUCUUGGCAACCUUUGGGCCAUAGCAUCAUCUCUAACUACUCCAAAACAAGCUGAGGGAAUUCUUAGCCUUAUUGAAGAAAAGUGGGAUGAUCUUGUAGCAAAUAUGCCCCUCAAGAUAUGCUAUCCUGCAAUGGAAGAUGAUGAAUGGCGCAUUAUUACUGGCAGUGAUCCUAAGAACACGUAAGCAUCCUGUUGAAUCAAUCUUUGUCUUCCUGCAUCUCUUGGUUUGUGAUAUUUCCGUUUUGUGGGUCUCUAUUUAUUUUUUAAGAUUAAAGUUCUCUUUCUUAAACAUCGCAUCAGUUGUUGACAUCUAGCCAUUCCGUGCAUGUGCAGCCCAUGGUCAUAUCAUAAUGGUGGAUCUUGGCCAACCCUGUUGUGGCAGGUACGUAGAUACCACUGCAAUGUUUUCAAAUUUCUUGCUCCUUUUCAUGCUUGUAGAUCAUUGAUGACUAAUCCUUGUUUCUGUUUACAGUUCACAUUGGCGUGCAUAAAAAUGGGCAGACCAGAAUUGGCUCGGAAGGCCAUUGCUGUGGCUGAGGACAGACUCUCAGACGACAAGUGGCCGGAGUACUAUGAUACCCGGUCUGGAAGGUUCAUUGGGAAGCAAUCAAGAUCUUAUCAGACAUGGACUAUUGCUGGUUUUCUGACUUCAAAGAUGUUGCUGGAGAACCCAGAGCUGGCUUCUAUUCUGACCUGCGAUGAGGACCUUGAGCUGCUUGAAGGCUGUGCUUGUUGCCUGUCUAAGAAGAGGGCUAGGUGCUCACGCCGUGUGGCCAAGUCACAUGCUGGGUAAAACCCCAAAGCUCAUGCUGUUCCUUCUGCCGUGGAUGCACGAUGUAUACUACUGUUAGGAUUAACCCUGAGACGGAGAGACUCUUCACAUGUACAUUAGUAUAGGUUAUGUUAGAUAUCCAUCCAUUCAUUUCCUCAGUGGCCGCUCGAUCUUUUUUGCUGAGCUGCCACUGAUGGGAACUACCCUGGGUGACACCAGUGGUCGAAAGAAGAGAGCAAAACAUAUUCAGAGUUUGUGCUCUCAUGUACACAGAAAAAGGAAAUCUGUUCUUGUUAUUCGAUCCACAAGCUGCCCCCCUUUUUUUGGGGGGUGCUGUUGAAGCCCUAACUUUAUCUCUUGUCAGUUCUAAAAAUAGUGUGUUGUAAUGCUUGCAAACGGUGACACUGUAUUCCACUCGUUUCAUGAACUAGAGUGCUAUGGAUACACAUUUAUUCUAUUGGAUUAUGGUUGGAAUUGGCAUACGUUGUAUGUUUGGUUGGUAUAAUGUGUUGUUUGUGGUCGCCUGGUUGGCGAAUAUGACACUGCUGUUGUGACUGACGAGUGACGAAUCUGACUCAAAGCUGUUGCUAACUCGUCGAAUCCUCGUCAUGGCACGCCCCGCCAAACCUAGCUGCUGAAAAUAUAACCCAGAAGGAGGUAUCUGAGAGGUGAGAUAUCUUUUAAACAUUCAAGCCUACUCAAACUGAUAUCAUCAGUUCGUCACUACGUUUUCACUAACCAUAACCUGAAACUGAGUUGUGUUCUUUCACAACCAAAGCGGCAUAGGGCGCAAAGCAUUUCCCGAGGGAGACAGGAUCUUACGGCCACAAAAUAGCCGAAGCGAACUUGUAGAUGGAAUGAACAGCCGCACAUUCUUAAACUACAUCAUAAACUAGGUGUAGGCAUCGUACAAAUUCACUGUGUUUACAUAAAGCUCUGGAUAAGGUUCACAACUGCUAACUUAAAAUGAUCAUAACCAGAAUGUAUUAACAUGAAGUUUCAUCAACGGGGAGAUGAAUUUCCUUUUACUAAUUUAACUUAAACUAGUUAAAACUAGUGAGCUUCAAUCCCUGCAUUCUUAAGCCCAAAAUCCACCCUUCUGUUGCUUACCCUACAUCGAUAUAUAUAGCACAUACUAGGAAUUAGUAAAACAGGUCAUGGUUCAGGAUGAAAUUAGCUCAGAGACGUGUGGAUUAUGGAGUAAGAGUACGUAGAUGCUUACAAUGCAACAUUGUACGUAGAUGCUUACAAGACAACGUUAUCGGUCAUGACGUACUCCCUCCGUUUCAAAUUAUAGAUCAUUUUAAUUUUUCUAGGUUCAUAAAUAUUAUUAUAAAUCUAGAUAUAGUGUAUGUCUAAAUGCAUAAUAAUAUGCACGAACCUAGAAAAGUCAAAACGACCUACAAUUUGGAACGAAGGGAGUACUAAUGAAGAUUUCAAGAUAAAAAUUGUAGCUGAAGCUUUCUAUAUUUACACAUCUACACUGCUAGGAUGUUACCCAAUUAUAAAUUUGAUUUCCACAAUUUCCCAGAUCAAACAUGCACAGCAUCAAAAUCACUGAAACAGAAUAAGAAGAAUGUAAAAUGGAAUCACCCUUGGUAAAAAGCAAUUAACAAAUUUUAACAAGAAAUCAGAAUGCAGAUGCUCGAUGACCCUGACGUGGUUACUAACAAGUGGGUCUGCUUGCGAAGCAGUUCCAGUGUGACCACACGCCCGUUAUGCAAAUGCUAGCACUUUUAAACAUAAAGAUUAAACAACGACAUAAUAGUUCCAUUAUUAGCUGCUUCGUUAAUUUUUAUCCAUCAAGGACAUGUUUGGUUCCUCUUGCUAAACUUUAGUUGCUAAAAGUUGCUAAACUUUAGCAAAAACUAUUUGGAUACUCUUGCUAAAAGGCAUUUAAUGAGCUGUAAAAAGAUCUAUCUACCCUUAUUAAAAGUGCGCAGGAGGGGGGAGACAAGCAAUAAAUGAGGGGUAUAGGUUGUCCAGCCCACCUUUUAGCAAGUUUUAGCAACCAAAAACUUGCUAAAGUGCUAAACUUUAGCAACUCAACUUUAGCAAGUUUUAGCAAAGGUGUUUGGCAGUUUAAAGUUUAGCAAGGUGGAACCAAAUACCCCCUAACUCUACGGAUUUCACUGCAAGGUCCGGAGAGAAACAAAGAGGCAAAGAUGGAAGACAAGGUGAAUCCAACCCAAAAGUUUGAGCAGUGCAUGCAUAGUUAGUGCACAUGACUUUGUAGUUUUUCGAGGUAGAAUCGAAGUUUAUCAAAAUCUAAAAUGAGUGGGGCAUAUGCCCCACUAGAAUCCUCUUUGGGUCGGUUCCUGGUUGAAGAUAGGAGAGUAAAUUCUCCAUUAGAGUUGAACAUGCAAGUGUCACUACCCACCUACGAUAAUGGAUCGACACGAGGAGAUGUGCAUGACACAUGAAGCUUCGGCUGGACCUAUUGUUCUCAGACAAUAAAUGUGGAAUGAGUGAAUAGUGAGAGCUCAUAUCACCCAUUUGUAGCGUCUUAGUUAGGGAUGAAAAUGGAUUGGAUACAUAUGAAUGUAUAUGGAUUGGAUUCAGACACGGAUAAUGUUAGAUGUGUCUGAUAUAGAUACGAACGAAUAGUUAUGGUUAAUAGGUACUAACUGAAUGAGUUACACAUAUAUUUUCUCGAAUAUUGAGUAAAAGCAACAAAUACAUAUGAUUAUCCGUUGCUUCACAGUUUGCAUUUUUAUAUUAAUUCAUUGAAAGAAAUUAUAACUCAAACUUCUCCCAAAUUUAAAGACAAAAGUUGGAAUAACUUAAGCAUUUACAUUUUUAUGGUUUAUUGAAAAAGUCCAUUUUACUAUCCUCACAAGUUCACUUUAUCCGGUUAAUCCAUGAACAAAAUUAAGGCUCAUUUCACUCCCUCCAAACUAUUUGAGUUGGUCCAAUCUACCCUCUAGUGAGAUUUAUCUAUUUUGUUUCUAUAUAUCUUGUUUUUCAAGGAGACUUAUAAUUAACAUGGUACCCUAUGUUAGAAAAAUACAUUAUGAAUUUUUCACAAUUACUUUUCAUGCAAUUGUAUCUGUAUGAUUAACUUUACCAUUUGUCGUUGUCAAGAUUAGCGGAUCAAGACUAUAGCUAGUAAAUUUCUUUUAUGCGCGUAAGGCUUCGGAUGGUGGCGUGAGAGGACACGAGGUUAGACUGGUUCGGGCAAGGAAAGCCCUACGUCCAGUAUGAGGAGCUGCUUGUGUUACCCACGCAAGGUUUGUAGUAGGGGGUACAAACGGGCGAGAGAGGGAGCCGAUCCCAAGUCUCUUGGGUGUGCACUGAUGCUCAUGAGGUGAGUGUGUGGGUUCUGUUCACUUGAGACCCCCCCGAUCUCAGGGCCCCUGGUUCUCUUUUUAUAGCACAAGGAGGGCUCAGGGUUACAGGUGAGCCGGGUGUUUGGAGAAGUAAAAGAGAUAAGAUAAGUAAAAUAGAAUACAAGGAGAAGGACCAAGUCCCCGGGUCAUCGCCUUCUGCCACGGCCUUUGUCCCCUGUCAGCGUGGCCAUCGGAGGAGGGCGGCUGUCGCCGGAUCCGGUCGACGAUCCUCCGGACGACCGUCGCCGCUGAGCAUGAUGAUGGUGUUCGGCCGUGGCAACUAUGCAUGUUGGGGGAGACGACUGACCCCUGUUGUCCUGCUUACGGCCCGUGGAACACGGACGUCGCGUCCCUAUCACCGGAUAGGCCUAGCACGAGAACGAGCGGCGCUCCCUUCUGUGCCGGGCGGCGCAUGCAAUGAGUGCCCUAUGGCAAAUCAGGGGGAGCCGCGGCCACUGUAGCCUGUGCGGUCGUGGCUACAGUGUUCCGUCCGGGUACUUGUGGCGGGUCACGUUGAGGGGCGCGGGCGCCUUUCUGCGUACCAGAGCCGCGACGCAUUUAUGGCAAGAUCGGUAGGGUGCCCAUGAGAUCCGCGCCCUUGUCUGCCGGUCUGCGCCUAUCCUUGUCUUGUGGGCCCGGAUGAGUCCGACCCCCUACGCCCGGGGUUGGGCGAGGCGGAGCCUUGCGGCGAGGGGUCGGGCGCACCCGACCCUGGGACCAUGGGUCAGGCGAGGCGGAGUUUUGCCAGCGAGGGGUCAGGCGUGUCCGACCCCGGGGCCCUGGGUUGGGCAAGACGGAGUGGGAUGCUCCCUGCCCAUGCCGGGUCGGCAGUGGUCGUCAUUACCGCAGGUGGGCCUGGGCCUUCAUGAUUGUUGUUUUAAGGGGCAUAAGGAGGUCGUUAAUAUUUCCCCCCAAUAGUAGCCCCCAAGCCUGUGGUGGAGUGAGUAUGCUCCUCCAAAGGCUGCUUUCGUCGUUCGUCGGGGAUCUCUACUCGCUCUGCAAGCUGCAGUUGAUCAGGGAUAGGGAGUGUUGUGCGUUCGGCUUGGCCGGGGAGUUUGAUCAGGCGAGGUGUCCUGUGGAUGACUUGGCGCGGGGGGAAUCCUUAUUGUUCUGUAGGGCACCCCCGCCUUGAGACCUCAAAUCGCGACCACACGCGUGGUCAUCGGUUGCGAUGCUAGCCCCCGAGCCCCCGCGCGUUGCGGGAGACCGGUCGGGAGGCUAGAUCGACUUUUGAUCGUUACCCCUCAAGCGUCCGUUCGUUUGAGACGGAGGGGGUGAGCCGUGCCACGCUAUCCUCGCCGGACGAACCGUGGUGCUCAUUGAGCUACGAACGGGUCGAUUCGAGUGGGGUCCCAGUCCCCGUUCGGGGGGGUCCGGCUCGGGCCAAGCUGGUGGUGUACCCUAGAUUCCGGUCGGCUAGUUCAUAUAGUUCCCGAGUCCGUUCGAUCGGAUCCGGGGGCUCGUUGCCUUUCUUCGGGGAAAAACCAUGAACUUUGAUGCCGGUCCGGACUCGAACGUGAGGUCGGGAUGCCCUAGGAUGUCGCGUGCCCGGGUGAUGGCCGCUAGCGGACCCGUCCCUUCUCACCCCUCGCUCGGGGAUAUCCUAGGACGACUGUUGAACCCGUAGUGGGCCAGCCUUCGAACCCCUGGACCGUAAUGGGCUGUAGGGGCGUUUUCAGCCCCGUAUCCCUUUUUUACCUAUUGGUGGGCCUUGGGCCAAACGUGGAGGAGGUUGUGCGCAUGCGUUCUCCAGGAGGCAUAGUGGCGGAAGGUGCCGGCUCGCGAAACGAGGGAGGGGGAGAUGUUUUCCUGCAGCAGAUCGUGCGCACGGAUUCCGAAAAAGGCGGGCGUGACGGGGUAUACCUGGCAUUGCAUUAACUGCGACAAGACCGUCCCUUUCACUUCCCACGCGCCCGCCUAUAAGAUGGGGGGGUCUGCCUCACCGGUUCCGCCCGCACCUGCUCUCAAACCUUUUCACCUUCUCGCGCGCCAUUUGCCUUCUUGUGCGCCAUUCGCCUUCCUCCGCCUAGCGCAGUAGCUUCUCUCACCCUUCGCCAUCGAACCUUUCUCCCCUUAGCGAUGGAGUCCUGGACACGCUCGAGCUUCGGUACCUCACGCGCCGACGACCUCAUGAGGAAAGGCCUCCUCUGCGAGAGGACCGAGAGGGACGAAUGGUGGUUCCCCGAGAGGGAAGAUGUGCCGAGUCCACCUGGCGGCUACGUCGUUUCGUUCGCGCACUUCCACGAGAGGGGGUUCACGACCCCGCUGAGCUGCUUCUUCCAUGGGUUGCUGCACUACUACGGGCUCGAGCUGCAACAUCUCAAUCCCAAUGGGAUCCAACACAUCACGGUGUUCGUCGUGCUAUGCGAGGAGUCCUGGGUAUCGAGCCCAACUUCUCGCUCGGGAAGUACUUCUUCGCGGUCAGCUUGUACUAGAGGACCGAUAGGGUGCACCGCCAUCCACCUCCGCAAGAACCGCACCAAGGAAUAUAUGGCGAUGAAGACCGCGGCGUCCCACAAGGGGUGGCACCAGCAGUGGUUCUACGUGAAGAACUACUCCGAUUCCCCUUGCCGGCGUUCACCAGCCGCGUCAUCGAAGCGGCGCCGGAGCUGUGGUCGUACGGUCCGGUCGAGAAGGAGAAGAAGCGGAUCACCGGUCUGCUUCAGGCCAUCAAGCGCCUAAAGGAAAAAGGUCUAACUGGGGCUGGAGUCAUUGGGGCAUACCAUGCUCGGAGGGUGGUGCCGCUGAUGCUCCGGGUUUGCUUGCUUGCCGACAUGGUUCCCAGUGCGCCGACCCAGGGCACCAUCCUUGCGACAGGCGUGCUUGCUGACACCGAGAUCCGGCAGCGAGUUUCGGAGGUGUUGGACGACAAGGACACCGAUUACCCGGUGCCCGGUCACCCUCCGAUGCGCCCGGACGAGAAUUUCGUCGAACUGGUGAGGACUUCACGCUUUUGUCCUUCUCUCCUGCAUUUCUUGGUUCGUCGCUCUGAUGCUGAGUUCUCGUGUCUGCAGGGCCACAUGACCCGGGUCGUGGACUCGCGCCCGCCGGUGCUGGAGGACACAGAGCAGCGGCAGCAGAACCUCCUCCUCGUCGAGAAGCAGAAGAGGCGUAAGGACAAAGAGACGGCGUGGAAGAAGAAGAACGCCGCCAAGGAGCUCCAACGGCGGCGGUGGGACAAGGUCGUGUCGGAUGACGACGACGACGACGAUGAGGAUGAGGAGGAGGAAGAUGAGGAGGAGGAAGAGGAGGACGGUGAGGGGUCAGCGCGGGGUGCACCUCGGGAGUCGACGGAGCCGACCCCCGACCCUCUGCCUGCGUCACGUGAGCAGAGGAGGAGCGGCAAGCGGCCGCUGCCGGAUGCCCCGGGGUCGACGUCGAGCUCGGAGGCGAAACACGCCCGUCGUCCUCGCGCUGACGGGGUGUAAGUGGAAAUUCCUCGCGCACCUUGUUCCUUUCCCGGCAUCGAGCCGUUUUUGAUGAUGUUGUUGUUGUUUCACAGCGCCUCCCCUUGGGACUUCGUCCCACCGCUGGCACCGAAGAAGGCGCUACGGGUGUCGUCCACCUCCGCGGAGCGAGCCGCGACCCCGCUGGCGGCAAGCGGCGGCAUCACCGGGGAGACCACGGGGCCUACGGCGGAGGCGGCCUCUGCGGCGGCGACCGGAGGAAGGGUGUCGCAGUCGGGCACGGGGUAGGGUCUGAUCCCUGCUCCACCUUCUGCCUCCAUGGUCGACCCCGUGGGACAAGGUGUUGUCCCUGGGGUUCCUCCGGCUGGCGAGGUGAUAGACCUCAACGACGGUGCGGAGGAAGUGCCUGCGGGGGAGGCGUCGGCCGCGGAGGGGGCUCCGACGGUGACGGCGGAGAUGGCGGCGGCGGAGAUGGGGGCAGUUGCCCCAGUAGCCGUGACGGAGACGGCGGCGGCGGCGGAGGAGAGAAAGUCCGCCCCCGCGGCCGUGACGGGGACAACGGCGGCGGUGGAGGUGGGGACACCUGCCCCAGGGGCCGCGAUGGAGACAGCGGCGGCUGCGGAGGCGGGGACGCCUACCCUGGUGGCCGCGAUGGAGGUGGGGACACCUGCCCCAGCAGCCGCGAUGGAGGCGCCGGCGGCGGCGGGAACUGGAACGCUCGCUCCGGCAGCCGUGAUGGAGACGGUGGCGGCGGUGGAGAGAGCAGGACGCGCGUCGGCGUCGAUGACGGCCGUUGCGACUUCGACAGAGACAGCGGCGCAUGUGCCAGGGUCGUCGAUGAGGCUGGCGGCAUCGGGGGCGGUGGCGCCUGCCCCGGCGGUGGCGUCGGGGAUGGCGGCGCUAGGGUCGGCCAGAGCGGCUUCAACCCUUGUCCCGGUUAAUCCCGUCCCCAAGGCGUGGGGUGGGCCUACCCUACGCUGGAGGUCCCGUGAGGACCCUCAGAGGCCCCUCUUCAUGCUGGAUGACGCCGAGGAGUGGGGUAAGUGGAAGGUGGUGUAGGGUGGGCUUGGAAAUGGGGGAGCUAGAUGGCGUCGUCGUCCCCGGUGGCCAGGAACGGUGUUCUCCCCGGUGGUUAUUUUCCUCUCAUUUCUUCGUUGCUGAGCAUAAAUUGCUUUGUAGGCCCUCUAGGAAUGCAGCCGGGGGAAGUCUGAUUUCCUCCGGCUCGAGCGGGGGCUCUGGGAUCGCUUCUCCAUGGAGAGGCAGUGGACUGGGGAGCUGACCGCGUAGCUUGCCGCCGCUCAGCAGGUCAUCACCGACCUCCGCAGGCGCAAGAGGGCGCGCGGGAGGACGUGUGGCGGGCGGAGGAUAAGUUCCAGGUCAUCAUCGAGAAGGCUCACCUCGAUCUCGAGGAGUUCCAGGCCGCUGUCGAGAAGGCCUGCCAUGAUGUUGAGGAGCUCGCACGGCUGAAGGGAGACCAUGAAGCCCUUCAGAAAAUCGUCGAGCGUAUCCGGCGUGAGUGGCAGAAGGCUUGGCAGAAGCGGGACUCCGAGGCGAUCCGGAAGGCUGAGGCCGAGAAGGUGGUGCGGACCUUGGGGCGGAGAUCAGUCAGCUCCAUGUGCAAGUGCAGGGGCUUCAAACCGCCGUGACCCAGGGGCUCGACCGGGAGCGUCAGCUGAAGGCUCAAUCUGAGUAUAAGGCUCUUCUCGUUCCUUUGUUUUUGCGGUGUUGCGGUGGUUUCUAACUUUGCAGACUUUUCUGGACGGGCCUCAUGGACGACCUCGCCCGGCUGAGGGAGAUCCUUGAUGCGGAGCGCUCUGAGCACGGCAACCUGCGGGACGUAGUCCGCGUUGUCUGCGAUGGCCUCGGCGUGGUCCAGGGGGAGGGGACGAGCUCAUUGGCGGCUCGUGUCCCUGGGGCGUACCGGUGGGCCUGUGAGAUCGCUCGGGAGGUGCUCCACGUCGGCGUGAGGCAGGCCUUUGGCGUCUUCGACUCCUAAUAUUCCGGCAUCAACUUCGCCGGGAUGAGCGGGGGGUACGCCUUCGGCUACUCCAAGGCCGAGCUGGACGAGAUUGACGCGUCGGUGCUCAACCCAGCGGAGGCCUUGGAGAAGCUUCUGGAGGAUGAGGCCGUCUCGCCGGAGGACCCGGGGACGAGUUAGCUGUAUCGGGCUUAGAUGCCCUAGAAUAUGUAAAUAUGUUAGUUAACUUUGAACUUGCUUUCAUGAUGGCCGCAGAGGCCUUUCCUAUAAUUUGUCAAAUUUUUUUUUCGAUCCUCUUUCUAUUUUUUGGGUUUGGAAAGUUUAGAGUGCGGGUCGGGCGCGUUAGUAAGCGCUGAUGAGCGAAGGCACCGUAGCUGCUGGGACGUAGAUUUUUCCGCAGUCCGAUCUGUCUUGCUUGAGCGUCGUUCAUGCACUCUUUCCCUUUUCACGUCCAAACAUUUUGAGAAGAGAGUUGGUUCGGAGAAAUGGUGUUUUGAGAAGACGUCAAGUGACUUGGGCCGGAGCCCCUGAUAGCCCCCAAGGGAUAUGCGACCUUGGGGCAGAGCCAGGGUCAGAUAUUCCUAAGCCUAGGACGGAAUCGAACAAAAUCGAUUCAAAACUACCCCUUUUCGUGAAUUAAACGGUUACAGAAGUAUGUAUGUACAAACUUGGAAACAAUAACUAAGGGUAGAAGCAUCUUAGCUGCUCUAUAUUCCAAGCGUUGGUGAAGAUCUGCCCAUCGGGGGUCGCUAGCUUGUACGUGCCUGGCCGCAGUACUUGUGCGACGAUGAAGGGAUCUUCCCAUAGAGGGGUCAGCUUGUGCUGACCUCUGUUGUCCUAGAUGAGGCAAAGCACCAGGUCGCCGAUGUUGAAGGCUCGGCCUCGUACCUUGCAGCUGUGGUAUCGUCGUAAGGCCUGCUGGUACUUGGCCGAGUGCAGCAGGUCCACAUCGCGUGCUUUGUCGAGUUGGUCUUGCGCAUCCUCGAGCGAUGCUUGGUUCCCUUGUUCGUCGUAUGCCUUGACCCUCGGCGACCCGUACUCUAGGUCAGUGGGGAGGAUUGCCUCGGACCCGUAGACCAUGAAGAACGGGGUGAAGCCAGUCGUCCUACUGGGAGUCGUCCUCAAACUCCAUAGGACUGCGGGGAGCUCCGCGACCUGCCGGGCGUCGAACUUUUUGAGGCGGUCGAAGAUCCAUGACUUGAGACCUUGGAGUAUCAUGCUGUUGUCCCGCUCGACCUGCCCAUUUGUGCGGGUGUGUGCCAUGGCCGACCAGUCCACUUGGAUGUGGUGGUCAUCGCAGAACUUGAGGAACUUCUUCCCAGUGAACUGCGUGCCGUUGUCCGUGAUGAUGGAGUUGGGGACUCCAAAGCGAUGGGUGAUGUCGGUGAAGAAUUGCUUUGCCUGCUUGGAUUUGAUCUGCGUGACGGGCCGCGCCUCGAUCCACUUUGAGAACUUGUCGACGGCGACAAGUAAGUGGGUGAAGCUCCCGGGUGCCUUUUUGAAGGGUCCGACAAGGUCCAGUCCCUGGACCGCAAAUGGCCACGUGAUGGGGAUGGUCUGGAGCGCCUGUGCGGGCAGAUGGGAUCGGCGCGCAAAGAAUUGGCACCCCUCGCAGGUGCGCACCACGUGGGUGGCGUCGGCAACUGCCGUCGGCCAGUAGAAGCCUUGUCGGAAGGCGCUACCGACGAGGGUUCUUGGCGCAGCGUGGUGACUGCAGGCCCCAGCGUGGAUGUCCUGUAUCAACACCUUUCGCUGCUCAAUUGGGAUGCAGGGCUGAAGGAUGCCGGUGUGGCUCCGCUUGUAUAGCUCCUGGUCGAUGAUGACGAAGGAUUUGGCACGACGUGCGAUCCUGCGUGCCUCCGUCUUGUUCGUUGGGAGUGUCUCGCGGAUGAGGUAGUCGAGGUACGGGGCUCUCCAGUUAGGCGGGGGGUCGGGCCCCUCUGUUGGGUUUGCGUCGAUCUCCAUGAGUUCGGGGUCGGAGGGAUCGGCCUCCGGGUCCAGGACAGAUGGAGAGUCACCAACCUUUCCAGGGUCGGCGUCCGAGCCUAGGACAGGUGGCGUGUUGCCGACUUCUCCCAGGUCGGCGCCCGAGUUUGGGGUAGGUGGCGCGUCGCCGACCCUUCCCGGCUCCUUGUAACGGAUCGAGGGCUUGUUUUGGUCGCUGACGAAGACGCCAUUGGGGACGGGCUUUCGGCCGAAUGCCGCCUUUGCCAGUUUGUUAGCUGCCUCGUUGAAACACCUUGCGACGUGGUUGAGCUCUAGUCCAUCGAACUUGUCUUCGAGCUUGCAGACUUUGUUUUAGUACACCGCCAGCUUGGGGUCGUGGCAGCUCCAUUCCUUCAUGACUUGUUCGACGACUAGUUUAGAGUCACCUCGGAUGUCCAGCCGCCGGAUGCCCAGCUCGAUGGUGAUGCGAAGCCCGUUGAGGAGAGCCUCGUACUCAGCGACAUUGUUAGAUGCAUGAAAAUGGAGGCGGAUCAUGUACCUCAUGCGCACGCCGAGAGGAGAGACGAAGACCAGACCCGCUCCGGCGCGAGCCUUCAUCAAUGACCCAUCGAAGUACAUCGUCCAGUACUCUUGCUUCUUCGGCUCCGAUUGCGUCUGGAUCUCCGUUCACUCCGCAAAAAAGUCGGUGAGCACUUGGGACUUGAUGGCUGUACGGGGGGCGUAGGUGAUGCCCUGGUCCAUGAGCUCGAGUGCCCACUUCGCGAUCCGUCCCGUGGCGUCCUUAUUCUGGAUCACUUCGCUGAGGGGGAACGACGAAACGACCGUCACCGGGUGGGAAGUAAAGUAGUGGCGCAACUUCCUAUCCGUGAUGAGGAUGGUGUAGAUGAGAUUCUAGAUCUGCGGGUAGCGAGCCUUGGACUCGGACAAGACCUUGCUGACGAAGUAUACCGGACGCUGCACCUUGAGGGCGUGUCCCUCCUCUUCUCGCUCCACUACCAGAGCCGCACUAACCACCUAGGUGGUCGCCGUGAUGUAGAGUAGGAGUGGCUCCCCAUCGGUUGGCGGGACCAGGAUCGGGGCCUUCGUCAGGAGGUUCUUGAGCCGAUCAAGUGCCUCCUAGGCCUCGGUGGUCCACACAAAGUGGUCGGUCUUCUUCAGGAGUCGGUAGAGAGGGAGCCCCCGUUCGUCGAGGCGCGAGAUGAAGCGGCUCAGGGCUGCCAGGUAUCCCGUGACGCGCUGAACUCCCUUUAUGUUUCGGAUCGGCCCCAUGUCGCUGAUGGCUGCUAUUUUCUCCGGAUUGGCUUCGAUGCCACGCACGGAGACGAUGAAACCCAGCAGCAUGCCCCUCGGAACCCCAAAAAUGCACUUUUCAGGGUUGAGCUUGAUGCGCUUGUCUCUCAGCCUUUCGAAGGCUAGUUCGAGGUCGGGGAUGAGUUGGUCGCCGUUCUUGGACUUGACUACGAUGUCAUCUACGUAGGCCUCAACGGUUCGCCCGAUGAGGUCCCCGAAACACAUAAGCAUGCAUUGCUGGAACGUAGCCCUCGCGUUUUUUAGGCCGAAUGGCAUCUUAACGUAGCAAUAGCGGCCGAAGGGGGUGAUGAAAGAGGUCGCGAGCUGGUCGGACUCUUUCAUCGCGAUUUGAUGGUAGCCGGAAUACGCGUCAAGGAAGCUAAGGGUUUCGCACCCUGCGGUUGAGUCGACUAUCUGAUCUAUACGUGGCAAAGGAAAUGGAUCCUUUGGACACGCCUUUUUGAGACCGGUAUAAUCAACACACAUCCUCCAUUUUCCAUUCUUUUUUCGUACAAGAAUAGGAUUAGCUAGCCACUUAGGGUGGUACACACUUCCUUGAUGAAUCCGGCCGCCAAAAGCUUCUGGAGCUCCUCGCCGAUGGCCUUGCGCCUCUCCUCGUCAAAGCGUCGGAAGCCUUGCUUCACUGGUUUGGAGCUGGCCUUGAUGUUUAAGGAGUGCUUGGCGACUUCCCGCGGGAUGCCGGGCAUGUCCGAGGAUUUCCACGUGUAGCCGGUGUAGCGGGUUCGGCCGCGUAGACCUCGCGGCGCUCCAACUUCCGAUGACGCCUGGAGUCGUAAGCCGCCGGUCUUCCUUCCCUUCGCCGUCCUUCUUCUUCUCCUCGGGCUUCCGCCUCCGGUCGCCCUUCACUGGGUUGCCUACAAAAUACCUCUUCAUGAGGUUGCAAUCCUUGUAGGUGUGUUUAGUGGGGAAUUCGUGGUUCAGGCACGGUCCCUUGAGCAGCUUGUCGAAGAAGCCGGGGGUGCCCUCUGGGGGCGGCUGUCCCCGCUUGCGCUCAGCAACAGCCACAAGGGGGGCCUAGCGCUGUUGCUUGUUCUUCUUCUUUUGCUGGCGGUUGGAGGUGCCCUCGUUGGCGUCCACCUCCCACUUCGCCUUGCCCUUGGAACGAUCGAAGAUCGCCCCGAUGGCCUCUUCGCCCGAGGUGAAGCUGGUGGCGAUGUUGAGGAGCUCCUUCAUGGUCCGCGGGCCCCUGCAUCCCAGCUCGUGGAGCAGGGGUCGGCAAGAGGUUCCUGCCAGGAAUGCUCCGAUGAUGUCGGCGUCCGCGACAUUGGAGAGCUCGGUGCGCUUCCUGGAGAAAUGUUGGAUGUAGUCCUGGAGGGACUCGUCCGCCCCUGGCGGCGGCUCCUGAGAUCCCAGGAGUUUCCAGGGCACAUGUACGUCCCCUGGAAGUUUCCCACGAAGAUCUCCUUCAUGUUGUUCCAGUUAUGGAUCCGACCCGAGGGGAUGUGUUCCAGCCAGGCUCGCGCCGAGUCGGCCAGAAACAGAGGGAGAUUGUGAAUGAUGAACAGGUCAUCAUCCGCCCCACCGGCCUGACAUGCAAGCAUGUAGUCGCUGAGCCAAAGCCCGGGGUUCAUCUCCCCGGAGUACUUGGCCACGUUUGUGGACUGCCUAAAGCGCACUGGGAACAGCGUGUUCAGGAUGCGUGCGGAGAAGGUCUUGGGCCCCGCUGGGUCGGGGCUCGGGCUACGAUCUUCUUCGCUGUCGUAGCGGCCACCACGGUGGAUGUGAUAGCCGCGGUCCACUCCAUCUUCUUUGUCCGCGCGGGAGCAUCUCCGCACGUCCAAAGUGUCACGGGCGUCGCGAACGGGACCAACGUGCCAGUGGACAGACUAAGCUCCGCCUCCUACGGGCGGCGGCGUCCGUCACGCGGGCGCGGCUCGGUUCCCGGGGGGAGGCUGGUAGACAGACACCCCACACCUCUCGGGAGGUGCAGUGGGCGCUGCCCUGCUGGCGUUGUGCCCGCGUCGUCGGGACGCGGUGCUCUCCACCUGCUGGACGGUGGCGCACUCGAGUAGGUUGCGCACCUCUUGGUGCGCCUGGUGCUCCUCGGGCGUCACCGGCUCGGGGAGGCAUCAGAGCAGGGCUACCGCUGCGGCAAUGUUCUGGCUGGCGUGGGCGAAAAGUUGAGGGCGAUCUUCGUCCGUGCAAAUGCGCCGUUGGACGUCGCGCGCCCGUUGUCAUGCCCCGUCUUCGUUGCGGGGGCGCUCGACCUCCUGGUGGGGCGCCGCGCGCGCCUUCGGCAGUCAUGGCCAUAUCGGGACCCUGGCAAGGGCCCCAGUCAUGGCUGCAGCGCGCGGCGGGGGAGGGCGCUGCCUCCCUGCGGUGCCGUCGUUGUUGGACCCCUCGGAGUGCACGUCGGCCAUGAAGCACUCGCGCGAGGGGUGGUGACUCCCGUUGUCGGAGCCGGCAUCGGAGGUUGUCCUCGCCAUGCCCAUGAGCUCGUUGCUCGUGGGUGGCACGGUCAUGGACCGCGCUAGGAGGUGACCGUGGGUCGCCGUGGCAUUGCGUAGCCCGAAGGACCACUCCUCCGAUGGGGCCCCGUGGCGCGCACCCGGCCGCUCACCACUAUCCCGGAGGCGGAGCCAAAGAUGACGGGGCGAGCGGGCAGGACAAGGAGAGGGAUCAGCUCGAUUCCCUCCCCCGUGGCGAGGAAAUCCAAGCUCCCGAAGUGGAUAAGGGAGCCCGGAGCGAAGAUGGCAUCGUGGCUGGCCAUCUGAAGCCGGUGAUGUACGCGCAAAGGUCCCCUACCUGGUGCGCCAACUGUCGUUGUCAAGAUUAGCGGAUCAAGACUACGGCUAGUAAAUUUGUUUUAUGCGCGUAAGGCUUCGGAUGGUGGCGUGAGAGGACACAUGGUUAGACUGGUUCAGGCAAGGAAAGCCCUACGUCCAGUAUGAGGAGCUGCUCGUGUUACCCACGCAAGGUUUGUAGUAGGGGUUACAAACGGGUGAGAGAGGGAGCCGGUCCCAAGUCUCUUGGGUGUGCACUGAUGCUCGUGAGGUGAGUGUGUGGGUUCUGUUCGCUUGAGACCCCCCGGUCUCGGGGCACCUGGUUCUCCUUUUAUAGUGCAAGGAGGGCUCAGGGUUACAAGUGAGCCGGGUGUCUGGAGAAGUAAAAGAGAUAAGCUAAGUAAAAUGGAAUACAAGGAGAAGGACCAAGUCGCUGGGUCGCCGCCUUCUGCCCCAGCCUUUGUCUCCUGUCAGCGUGGCCAUCGAAGGAGGAUGGCUGUCGCCGGAUCCUGUCGACGAUCCUUCGGACGACCGUUGCCACCGAGCAUGAUGAUGGUGUUCGGUCGAGGCAACUAUGCAUGUUGGGGGAGACGGCUGACCCCUGUUGUCCUGCUUACGGCCUGUGGAACACGGACGUCGCGUCCCUGUCGCCGGAUAGGCCGAGCACGAGAACGGGCGGCGCUCCCUCCUGUGCUGGGCAGCGCAUGCAAUGAGUGCCCUAUGGCGAAUCAGGGGGAGCCGCGGCACUAUAGCCUGUGCGGUCGUGGCUACAGUGUUCCACCCGGGUACUUGUGGCGGGUCACGUCGAGGGGCGCGGGCGCCUUUCUGCGCGCCAGAGCCACGACGCAUUUAUGGCAAGAUCGGUGGGGGGCCCACGAGAUCCGCGCCCUCGUCUGCCGGUCUGCGCCCGAGGCGGACCCUUGUAUUGUGGGCCCGGACGAGUCCGACCCCCUACGCCUGGGGUCGGGCGAGGCGGAGCCUUGCGGCGAGGGUCGGGCGCACCCGACCCUGGGACCGUGGGUCGGGCGAGGCGGAGUUUUGCCAGCAAGGGGUCGGGUGUGUCCGACCUCAGGGCCCUGGGUCAGGCGAGACGGAGUGGGAUGCUCCCUGCCCAUGCCGAGUUGGCAGUGGUCGUCAUUACCGCAGGUGGGCCUGGGCCUUCAUUAUUGUUGUUUUAAGGGGCAUAUGGAGGUUGUUAAUAUUUCCCCCCAACACCAUUUAAAUGUUCUUAACCUAUGAAAAUAACUAUGAAAAAUUCUUGAUGUAUUUUUCCAACAUAAGGUAUCAUGUUCUCUAUCCACACAAAAUUUGUACUUAAAACUUAACUUUUACAUGAAGAAAUAAAAAAAAUACAGAUUUUAUUAGAGGGUACAUUGGACCAACCAAAAUGGUUCAGGGGAACCAAUCCUAAAUUUUAUUCAAGGGGUUAGAUGAACAAAGUUAUCUAUUUAGUGUUUCUUCCCUAAAAUUAUCAAAUUAGGAGGGUGGCCUCAUGCAACAUUUAGAUAGGAUAUUUGCAACACAUGUUUGAACCAAUAGAACCAAACUAGAUCCAUAUUUAUAAUAACCAAAGAAAAAUAGAUCAAUCGGCUAAAGUCAUACACUUGUCUACUUUAGAUGUAACAUAGAACCAUUUUUGCAACAAAUUUGAUUAGAGUAUUAGAUUUCAAUGCUACAUCCAAAAACUACCUCACAAAAAUAAUAUACUUGCAACAUCAGAAAGUAAUGUGAGAAACAUGAAAAGUUAUCAUCCAAAAAUUGCAACAUCCAAAAAUAUUUUUACCCUAAAAAUGUACUAUGGCGAACUCUAACCGUAGCAAGCUGUAAUUACCUCGUAGAGGUCUCUGUCUCAUAGGAUCAAUGAGUUGUGGAAGCACCAAGUCGACUAAAGGUCUGUCCAUCUUACGGUGCAUCCACAGCUUCCCCUUUUGUCCCAUUUCAGAAUGGUAGCUUCACCAAGUCGACUAAUUGUAGCUUCCAAUGGUGCAUCCACGGCUUUGAUCAGUAGAUCCAGCAGCACCAGAAAGUAGCACCUCUUUUGUCCCAUUUCCGGAUCUACCACUGGAAGGUACAUGAUAAUGGUUAAGAUGGUAACGUUCUCUACUCAUGCUAAUUUGGUUGGCAUGGCAUUGGCAACAUUCUCACCCUACUAUUCUCUACCUAUUUCCAAAGAGAGGACCGUUUUCUUCCAUCCUUUGACUUUUGGUCAGUCAUGUGUCAUUGACAGGUGGGUCCGGUGUUACUUCCCCUAAUUCUAAUAAUUCCAACGGUAAAAUAACAGCCAAUCCAGCUUUGCAUCUACUCCAGAUCAUCUUUGACAAAUCGACAAAUCCUAAUGACCCAAGAAAAUUGGGGAAACCACAUUUGCGGUCAAUAUAUAGAUGGUCUGCUGCCGUGCAGCUCCGCUCUCGACAACAACGAGCGAGAACUGGCCAAUUGAGAUGCGCACGCACAACAAAGAUAAAGAAAACAUCAAGAAAACGACUUGUCUCGCAAAGAAGUGACAGGGAGGUAUUGCUAUUGCCCGUGCCAUCUUGAAGAAUACUGCUAUCUUGCUACUGGCUGAAGCUACAAGUGCAGUAGACAUCCUAUACACCCACAGUGUUAGGCGACAUGAGAGGCGACUCGGGUGGCGACUCUAACGGCAGCUCCCUCCGGUGAUCUCUCCCCGGGAUCUUCCUUCCUCAUCAUUCUGAUUUUCUAUCAUUGGAGCUUCUCCAUGGGUCAACAAUGCUCCUCCCCACUGGAUCUCCAACCGAAUCCAGUUAACAAGAUGGAUUUCUCUCCGGGACACGCUUUCUAGAAAUAGGUUCUGGAAUCUUUUGGUAAAUCAGUCCAUCACCGCUCCUCCUCCCCUAAUGGAUCUUUCGUGCUUUUGGCCACCUUUCGAAGAUUCACCUUCCGUCUAACAAAGGAAUCAGUUGCUCUGGCUUUGCAAUCUUGUCUUGGUGGAUCUGCCGCAGGUUUUCAUGUAUCCUAUGUCAGUGAUCGUCACUUUCGCUUUUCUGUCUCUUGCAAAUCAAUGGGUUUUAUGGUUUACAAUUUAGGUCGAUUCAUUGUUUCCUCUUUUGAUGUUUACUUUCAUCUCUAGAAUAAUGGGGUUGCCUAUCGUGAAUCCGAUAAACAUCGCUGGGAAGAGGAACAAGUGAAGGAAUAGACUUAUGUUCUUUCCAAGAAAAAACAACGACGGGAACGCCAGGCUGCUAAAAUCUGGGUUCGACUUUCUUCUUCUAAACGUGUUCAUUUUGCGUCAAAGCUGGUUCAAGAUUCUCUUGCUUCAAAGUUCAGCCCUCCUGCUCAACCGAUUUUGGUCAAUUUCAGUGCGUUUUGUUCUUCUAUGAUGCCGGAUGCAAUUCCUUCUUCUUUCAAGCCUAUCAUCUUCGGCUCUGAUAAUUCAAGAAGUCAAGUUUAUUGUGGCGGAACCGCCUUAAUUAACUUAGCUAAAGCACAAAUAAGUCGCCUGACACGCGGUCUUAUGCUUUAACCAAGUUAACUCGGCAGUCCAUCGGAUUUCAUCCGAUAAAACCACUACACAGGACCGAGAAAGCAGAGCUCACACGAAGGUGAGUGGUUCUAGAGAAUACAACAGAUCAUCCAAAAUUAAACAAAUACAUUAAUUUUUCAACUCGGGUUCGAAAUUCAACAAAGUUUUACAGAGCUCUCAAGCAGCGGAAAAAGAUAAACCAUCGGAAGCUAGCGCCGGGGGUCGGAUGUCACGAUCAGGCUGACCAUGACAUCACUGGUUCCUGUCCUCGCCGUCCGAGGAGGGAUCCCACUCGACCGUCCAACCAGGAGGAAGCUGGGGAGGCCAAGUGCCAACAGCAGCAAACUCAGGAGCUUCAACAUCACCUGAAAGAUGUGCCACAAGCAAGGCUGAGCAACUAUGCUCAACAAGACUUAACCGACCGGUGGGAACUACUCCACCAACUUCUAGACAUGCAAGGCUUUUUGGCUGAGGGGUUUGUUUUGCUAAAAGCGACUACAGUAGGUCCUUACUUUUAAUAUUUUAGCUUCCGGUUCUAAGUUCAUUACCAAACUAAGUUAGCAGCUAUACUAAACAAGCAAAAGUUCCCAAGCAAAUUAUGACAAGAAAACAUAUUACAUCAUCAUCAAGUUUCAUUCUUACUCAGUGUAGCAUAGCGAUCAAGCAGUCCCAAACUGUGAGAGGCAGAUGAAUCGAUUCGAAUUUCUUAACCAUGCAUGGCGAACCUAAUCUCACGACAUCCGCGUACCAAAAAAGGGUCGCUUCCCUUGUCGGCCGUCCCCCUUCAAUCUCCUAACCCGUGUCGGGCCCACUUCUCUUGGUACAAGGCUCCACAGACCCAGCCUCUGCCGUUCUAUAACCAUGCUUGCCACCACAUGCGGCCGCAAGGGAACUUCAUUCCAGAGACAGUGGAUCGAACCACUCACGUCCUGGUUCAAUCAGGUACUAGGCUUCCCCAUCCCAUACUAGGUAUGAGAUUAGUACUUUCAAAUACUUGAUCACGAACACCAACACCUUCCGACCUUAAACCAAUUUCAUGUAGAUAGAUGGGGCAAUCCACCGACCACCAAAAUAGUUCAUAGAGCCCUGCCCCGUCCAUCAUCCUUAUAGUUGUAACAAAAAGGAGAGCAAGCAACUCCUAUAACUCGCGAGUGAUAGGGAAUCACUCGACUUUUACCGAGUCCUGUUAAGCACUGCAACUACUCAGCCUAUCAUACUAGUGUUCAGAUCAAAGGGAACUAAGUCAUGCAUCUAUGGUUCCAAACAACUCCUGAAUGUAAAUGCACAUACAUACAAUAGAAGGCAUGCGCAAGUUUAGAAAGACUGGGUUAUGCUCCGGGGCUUGCCUUCGAGCGGGGCGGAAGCAAGCUGAUCUUCGACGCUCUCGGGCUCAGCUCCUGCAGGCGGCAGCUCGGCUACAACUCCAUCUUCUAGCACCGGGUGCAGCUCGUACGUGCCGUCAGCGAGGUUUAGCUCUACAUGAAAUGCAAAUGCAAGGGGGUCAGACACUUAGACGGUGAUUUCAACAACACUUGCAAAGAUUUAGCCCAAAAACUGUAGCAAAACUAUAGGAAAAAGUGAAAAACCCACUUUAUUGGAUUCUACUCAGAACAAGGAUUCCAACCCAAGUGAUUUCACAUUUUUUUGAUUUUUCCUCAAUUUAAGAUGGAAUUUCCAAGCUUCUGUUGAUUUAGAACAAGAUAAAAGAGUCGGGUCAGGAAAAACUUGCGAUCUGACCCUUAGACCUAAGGAAUAACUGUACCGGGGUCCUUAGACUUAACACAGAGAAGUCCCCAAAAUUUUACACAGAUACCCUUGGUCAAAAGAAAAAGACACAGCCGAGCCCUCGGGCAAGGCGAACAGGGGUCGGGUGGAAUAGGUAGGGUCGGGCGAGACGGACAGGGGUUGGGCGGAACAGAUAGGGUCGGGCGAGACGGACAGGGGUCAGACUACUGACGAAGUCUUGGGGUCGGAAAGAAGCAAGCUCAGGAGGAACGACGAAAGGCGUUAUGUUUCGGGCGGCGGUGAGGUCCGGCGGUGCUCCUGCGGUGGUGGUGCUUCUUGUGGACAACAAGCAAGCUCUUAGCACUGCGUGAAGGAAAGAGAAGCGGCUGGUGGGGGUGGCAAGGCAUGGUGUUGGGCAGAAGGGGGAGCUCCAUAGAGAGCUCAGGUGGCGGCACUUGCGCGUGAAGCAGAGGAGUGUGCGGCGGCGAGUGCGCUGGAGAAGAAACCAAGCAAGCAGUGCGGCAAAGGCAAUGGUAGUGAAGGGAACUCUAGUAAGAGGCUUCGGUACCCCUCUUAUAGCUGAGCGGAAGUGAACGAGCUCGAGCGGCGCGAGGAUAAGGUCGAGGGAGAAGAAGUGCUUUGCUGCGGCGGCCAUUGGUCGACGUCUCCAUUGGCCGGAGAGGCGGAGCUCCGAGGACAGGAUCCUACGGCAUUGGGCAAGGAAGACAGCGCUAGGCAAGUGCGGUUUUGCCGGGUGGAAGGAUUUGCGAGGUCGAGCGCGUGCCUGGUCAUGUCAAGCGCCGGACUGGGUGCGGCAGCUCGGUAUUGGCGGACAGGAGGGAGGGAGGUGCACUGCAGGCGAGGGUGCUAUAGGCGAGGUGACAGGGCGAGCGGUGAGACGUGAGCAUGCGCGGACUAGCGACUCUGCCGGGGUACACUACUAGCGAGGCGGGGGAAAGGAGUUGUCACUGCCUGUGCAGUGGUUGGUGAAGACAGUGGUGUCGCGGGGCGCGCGUGCGGGCAGCGCGAUUGAGGUGUGACGGGAGGGCCGGAAGGCGUUGGGGCGCACGGCCGAGGAUCCGGGUGAGGUGAUGCGCGUGAGAGGCGAGGCGAUACCGGUGCGGUAGCAGCCAGUCUUCGGUUGCAGCAGCGGGCAGUGCACUUGGCGCGGCCGGCGAGGUCUCGGGCGAGACGAGACGGGGCGGAGAGGUCUACAGGGCGCUUCUGUGCGCGAUUGGGAAAGAGGUGCGCUGAUCCAUCUUGUCGCGGCCGGCGACUGGGUGAGGCGGCGCUUGCCGGUGAGGUCACGCCACGCGGCGGUGGCUCUCUAAAACAGGGUGCACGUGUGCUCUGGCGCUCUUUGUCCGAUAGAUCCGUAGGAUUCCUUGCUGGCCCCAUCUUCCAGCCUCUUGAUCUCCCGAUUUCCAAACUGACCACUUUGACUCCCUUAACAAGAGUUAUAGUACUCAGGCCAAAGUCCAAUUCUUGUAAUUGGACCGAGUUCAAAAACGCAGUGGAUUCAGAGAUCCAAAGCUCCAAAGUUUGGAGGAACAUUGGUUUCGAGACUUAAAGAAAACAGCAGUUUGCUGGGUUUCAGGGGUCGGGGCUGAUUUGAGCUGCAGAUUUUGGAAUCUUCAGAGGUGAAUUGGAUCAAGGUCCAAUUAAUAGAGUUAAAGCAGGGACUUCGUUCUCCAACUUUUACAAAGGGAUUUCCUGAUGUUCAGCUCAACUUUCCAAAGAUAAACCUUCCCUAAGGCACUAGGUUAGGUUGAAAUCCAGACUUAGCUGGUAUGGCUCAAGAAAGGCUGAGUCAACCAGAUUAGGGGACUUGUCUUAAGAUUAAACUCGGCUGAUUUAAAUCUAGGUCGUUACAUUUAUCUUGAGGAUGUUCCAGUCUUGAAAGCUUUUGCUCGUAUUGGAAAAGAUCUUGAUCUUGAUUUUACCUUAGAAGAUGUGCCUGGAAAAGAGCCCCCGUGUUCUUCGUGAGUUCGUAAUCAAUGCCGAGCAAAAACAGAGGGUUUUCCGGAGCCAAGUGCCGAGGUUUCAAAUUUCAAAUUCAACUCUGGAAUGGGCCGAUUCUGCUCGCGUUGCCUAGCACCUGGUCACUUGGCCCAUUCAUGCUCCUCUCAGAUCCGCUGCCGGGCCUGUUUCAACUAUGGCCAUCUCAGGAAAUGGUGCCUUACCAAGUCUUGGCCCAUGGUUGUUUGGCCCCCCAAAAGACCUCCCAAUCCAAUAGAGACCCAUGACGCAGACCACACAAGUGCAGUUAACCAAGGGUCGAUUUCCCUCAAUUCCUGUACGGUAGUCGCGGACUCUCUAACUUCCUCGAUAGAGCCUUCCUUUCCUCCACAGCCCCAAGCAAAUAGUUGCCGAUCACAUCCUGCUCUACCACCGCCGCCUCCACCGGACCACAUGGCCAACUUCCCCGGCAACCCAAUGUUGUAUGUCCCUAUGGGGCAACACGUCGAACAUGGAUGGCUUUGUCUGACGCACUCCUGGGUGGCCCUUGGUGCGGAACCCCCAAGGCACCAUGAAUAGUACAUGAUCAUCUCGCUGGAUCCUGAAUCAAUGCAAGAACAAGUGCAUGACCUUCUCCAAGAUGUCUCCAGUUUCCUUGAGCAAGAAUACCCUAUGAGAGUUGUCUCGGCUUUCACUUCGCCUUUGGGAUUAGGUUUGUUUCAGUUAGAAAACCCUUUCUAGAGGGGCCUAUUACUUGAUGCCUCACUGAUCCCAUUUGGUCAUGGUAACUCGAUUGUUCAGAAUCAUGAUGAGGCUAGGAAUUUUAGAGCUUGCCCGUACAUUAGACAAUGCUGGAUCAUGUUUUUAGCUUUUCCUUUGGAUUACCAAACGCUAGAUUUUAUCGAGGCAGCUGUGGCCUCUUUCGGCAGGCUCCUACAUUGGUUUGAGGGACCGACCAAAUCAAGGAUUUUAAUUCAGUGUUUAGUGCUCACACCAGAUAGAGUUCCUUGUAGUGUGGUUGUUUCACAAGGAACUACGCUAGGGAAUGGUCGUUCUUGGUCUGUUCCAGUUCUCAUUCUUGGAGGUCAUUUUCCAGAUGCUUUUCUAGCAGAUGAGGACCCUGUUCCUGCGGGUGGAAAUUCUCACCCGGGCCAUGGUGGGGUUAAUAUUCAUCAUAACAAUGUCGAUUAGCAAUGGCAUCAUGACUUUGUUAGUGCAGCUCAAGCAGUGCAGGCUGAUGUAGGAAUGAACAAUGAAUAGGUGGCUACUACUGAGGAAGAGCUCGCUCCACAUAAUCAGAAUGAAAUGCAGAACAACAAAAAUGGUGAGGGAUGGCCACUGAAUCAAAAUGCUAUGCAGAACAAUGACAAUGAUGGGGAUUGGCUAGCGUGGCCUCCUAUUGAGGAGGUGGAUAACAAUGUUGUUGAGGUGCCUCAUCAUCUUGAUCAACCCCAGGACUCAAUAUCAUUUGAUCAGUCAGGCAUGACAGCUAAAUACCUGAGGGCUAAUGGGCCUGACAUUAUUAUCAAAGUGGAGGAUAUCUGUAACUACAUGAAUGAAUCAUCAUCCUCUGGCGAUUCAUCAUCAGCUUUAGUAGAGGUUCAAAGUCUACCAUUGGUUGAUUUUGAGAUUGUGGAAUCCAGAGCCUUUAGGUUGCUGAUUGCUCCUCCAAACCCACAGUACCCUAUAAUAUCCAAACUGACAAAGACAACCAAUUCUUCACCUUUGGUAUUUUCUAUAAACACAGACCUAAUCCAGUAGAAUCAUGAAAAAGAACUGGCCAUUGUCCCUUUCAAGCCAUGCCCAACUGCUAUGUUGUUGCGUUACUGGGCUGAACAUGUCACUAGUAGUGUUAAGAGGGUUCUUGCUUGAGUUAUUGAUCUUGAUGAUACCCCUGAACCUGAGGCCACAAUUGAAUCACAAUAGGAAGUCAUCCCAGAGGCAAUGGAAGAUGAGUAUAUCCAGGAUAUGCAGGAGCCACCAAGGCAGCCAAUUGCCUCAACUAAAAAGGUGGUCUCUUUACCCUCUGUAACAUCCAUUCUAUACCCCAGCAUCCCUCUAGAAGAAUCUUCUAUGCGUAGAAGCAGUAAACUUAGCCAAAACAAAGAUGGCUACCAGUUCUUUCAACUUGAGGAUCAUCCUAGGAGAAGGAAGAAAGUUUGGGCUGAAAUACCUGUCAAAUAGAGUGAUGCAGCAAGGAUCCUUGACAAUCCACCUAAGCCAACAGAUUAGGAACUUCCAGGCCAAAUUCCAAUUGAGAUCAGGAGUUGACAGAAGAGGCUCUCAGGAAAGGGCCAUCAUCACAAGUGAACCCAUGAAGAUACAACCCAUAGAAGCCCAUGUCCAACAGGCCGCUCCAGUUUCUUUUUGUUAAUGAUGCUUUACAAUGGCCGCUUGGGAGACUAAUGCAUCUACUAGUCUUACCCUCGUUUUCUGUUAUGAUACUUCUAAUUGUCUUUUGGGGUGGCCUUUGAGAUCGAACUGCUUUUGUUUCCUCCUAUGUUACUAUGUUAAAGUUUAAACUGCACGUUGGUAAUUAUGGUUAGUGGUUGCUUUCUUCUUGGCCUGGUCCCUCUAGGCUUUUCAACAGUGUUUGCUUGGAUUGUCCUUCCUGAGGUUUUACCAUGUACUGGCUACAUUGGUCGUUGGCUCUUUCUUAUUGGUUGCAUAAUGAAUAGAAGUUGGAACAUUCUGUGCUAGAAUAUUAGGGGUAUUAACAGUGAAAGGAAAUGGGAUGCUCUCAGGAACAAAAUAGAGGAAAAUGCGUGCGCUAUAACCUGUUUACAGGAAACUAAGUGAGAAAAAUUUGAUACUCCAUACAUUAGGAAGUUUGCACCUAAAAGGUUUGACAAGUUUGAUUUUAUCCCCUCGAUUGGAGCAUCUGGAGGUAUCCUUGUCAUUUGGAACAAUUUGAUUUUCAAUGGUUGCAUGAUGGAAAAGCAAACCUUCGCAAUCUCCCUGUCUUUCACGUCCUGUCAUUCUAUGGCAAAAUGGAAUUUAACCACAGUAUAUGGGUCUUAUCUGGAGCCUGCUAGGAUAGAGUAUGUGCACUGGUUGAGAAACAUUUAGAUACAACCUGUCACACCCUGAAAUUUUUGGAUUUCAGGAUGUGAUUAGAAAGAACAAUUAAACAAAGAUUUUCUUAUAAUUUUAAAGUUUUCCCAACUUUAUUUUCUUGAAAGGAAAUUUAGUAUUGUAAAAAUAUUUGGUUGUUUCUUAAAUUAAAUAAGGUUGUUCUUUGUGCGUUGUAUUCAUGCUAAUGCAUCUUGGUGUUUAUUGAGUGCAAAUGUUUUAAAAUGUGUUUAGACGACGACUAGGUUCUUCUUAGAACUUUCCAGCUUUUUUUGGAAUUUAUUCUCAUUUUCCUAGAGCUAAAUCUGUUUAUUAGAAGGCUCUAGAACCCUUUCCACGAGCUCCAAGUAUUUUAUUUGGACUCCUCAUGUCCCAAACUAUCUCUAGGAUGUUUCUUGGAAUUUUUGGAAUUUUCUGGAUAUUUUCAUGCUUCAAAAAAAAUGUAGAAUUAUCUGGAUUUGUUUUGCACUGGAAAUUAUAUUCCAAAAAAUGAUAAAACUUUAAAUCCUUACCGGUCGGAUCAAAGCAAACCUGACCCAACCCGUCAGACCCUAAACCUACCCGGCUCUCCCUCUUUUCCUUCGCUGCAGGUGGACCCCACCUCUCCCUUGGGUGGAGCCAGCGAGGCUCGGUCCAGGUCCGCUCCAGCCCAGCUGCUCAGCUCUUCCCGAGCCGCACGGUAGCACUGCUGCCGCCGCCGGCCAACCUCUAGUCGUGCGCGCCUCACUACCCUAGGGCCCCGUGCCCUAUAAAACGCAAGCAGCCGCCACCUCGCGCCUCCCUACUGCCUCUGCAACCCCACGUCUCGCCUUUUCUCGCGCAGCACCGCCGUCGCCAGAGCCGUGAAGCCAAGCGCCACUUCUAGCCUUUGUCGUUUCCCUCGACCACCGGAUGAAGCCGCGGCCACCACAAGCACCGGGACAUUGAGCAGCACGUCCACCACCAGCCUUCUUCCAUCGUCCGCCGUCGGAAGAGCUCCGCCGCGUGGACCUCAGUUUGGCCGCUGUCUCCAUUGACCCCACCUGAUUCGCUAGCCCGUUGUUCCCCAAGAGACAUCGACAGUGCCUCGUGCCUUAUGACGCCGAGCUGAAGCCAUCCUGCCGGUCACCGUGGUCGAUUAGCCGCCGGAGCACCGCAUGCACGAGAAGAGCGAGGCAUCGCCAUCCUAUGCCGCCGGGCCGAAUUCUGGCCGCUGCCUUAUUCUCUUGCCAAUGGUGAGCAGCUCCACGAGAUCCCCACCAGCUCCUCUAUCUCCUGUGCCACCUGCUUGAGCCCCUACCUUGCCAGAGCGCCGGCGAUUUCGCCGCCCAGAGCCGCUCGUUGGCCAUGGGAGCAAGCUCUAUGAGCUUUUACAUUUAGGCCCCUACGUGAUCUUGUAAUCUUUAGCUUGCUUCACAGUUAACCCCCCUAGGUGUUCUCAAUCUUCACAAACAGAUCUAGCCUAUGAUAUUUUAUAGAUUUAACCCUGAUCUUUUAGCCUUUUGCAAGCACUAUUUGUAUUGUCUUGUUAAUCUUCCUUGCUAGCCCUCUAGAUCUAUAGUUAACCUUGUUUAGGUUCUUACAACCAUUUUAGUCCGAGCCUUUGUUUUUGCUCAGAUAACAUCCGUUCAAGUUGCGUUAGGUUUGUAUCAAUUUAAACUACGUAUUAGUCAUCAUGUUUAUCAAAUCCAUGCUUUGAUGAAUUUAUUAUGAAAUUGAUUUGAUUAAUGUCUAUUUAAACUUGUUUUUCUAAUUAAAAUCUAUUUAGAGUGCUACCUCGUGUUUUUCAUAUAAAUGUUAAUUUGAUUAAUGCCUGUUAAACAUGUCUUCUUUAAUUAAAAGCUACUCAGUGUUAUGUACACCGCUUUUCAUAAUAAAUAUUAAUUUGAUUAAUUCUUGCUUUUCUAAAUAAAAGCUAAUUAGGUUAUAUAUCGGUUUUUCAUAAACUAAUAUUAAUUUGAUUAAUGUCCAAUGUUGAAUCAAAUUUUCUAAAUAAAAGUUGAUAAGGAUUUUACACCAGCGUUCAUAAAUAAAUAUUAACUUGAUUAAUUUCAACAUGAAUAUGUUUUCAAUAACAAUUUUGACUCGAAUCAUAAAGAAUACGUAUAGAUGUUUCACAUAGUUUAGCCGUUCUAAAGUCAAAUGCUUAAAUGGUGUAAUUUAUAUUUCAAUAUUUAUAAUUAAAAUAUGGUUAAGUUAUAACUCGGUUUUUCUUAAUUUUGAUAAAAUGACUAAUGUCAAUAUACAUGUGUUUUCUAAAUAAAGUUUGUUUAGGCCAACACCACAUAUGUAUUAAUUCGAUUAUCUAUUCUCACAUUUCUAUAGUUAAAUGUGUAAUUGCUCUAAUUUAUACAUGAACAUUUACAAAUAAAACUUUACUAGGUAUUUACCUCGAUUUUUGCAAAUAAAGUAUAAUUUACAUUAAUUACAACUUAGGGUAUUUUCUUUCUGAAAUAUCCUUUACUUAUGUUUUGUAAAUUAAAAUAAACCCAGCUUAUUUCUUUGUGCUCUCGUAUACGCAAAGCAUUCGAUAGUCAUCCUUUGUUAGUUUUAGCUCAGUAUCUCUUUUGUAGAUCUAGUCUUCUCUGAAGCUUUAGAUCUUUCCAGUUCCAGUUCAAGCUUAAAUCCUGUUGCUUCCAUAAAUCUAACCAAGCCUUUUCUUUUCAAGCAUGGUUCGUGUGCUUUAGUGAGCCAAAUAGUUUUUCUUAGAGUUUCUAUUAUGCCUAAUAGAUCGAUGUCUGGUGAGUAGUUUUGUGCUGCUAAUUUCCCUAUCUAGUAGUCUUAUCAUGCUUGUUUCCUGUUCCUCUUAGAAUCAUAUUUCUCAUAAUCCAUCUCAUAGCUGUCCUGUCUUAGUUGUCUCUUUGUGAGUCAGCCACGUUCUUUAGAUCGUUGUGGCCAAAUCUUUCGCAGCCAUGUCUUUAGAGCCAAUCUUGUUAGUUUGUUUCUCUGCCAACUAGUUCAACGUAGCUUUGGCUAGUUUGUUGUCACUGUAGCCUAGUUGUUCUCUUUGUAGACUAGUUUUUUUCUUCCUAAACCAUAGUUUAACCUUUUCUUCUCUUUGUGAGUCUCAGCCACGUUCUUUAGAUCUUUGUGGUCAAAUCUUUCGCAGCCAUCUCUUUAGAGCCAAUCUUGUUAGUUUGUUUCUCUGCCAACUAGUUUAGCUUAGCUUUGACUAGUUUGUUGUCCCUGUAGCCUAGUUGUUCUCUUUGUAGACUUGUUUUUCCUAAACCAUAGUUUAAGCUUUUCUUCUGUGCUCUAGAGUCUGUUUUGUUGUUUCUAUUUGCUUCACCUUAACUUAUGCGGUUAGUCAUGUGUAUUACAUGUUGGUUGUUUUUAACAUCAAAGUUAAAUAUCAAUUUAACUAAUACUUAUUAAAACCAGUUUUCUAAUUAAAAGUUUGCUAGUUUUGCAACACGAGUUUUCAUAUAAAAUGUUAACUUGACUAAUUCUUAUUCAAUUAGUUUUCUAAAUAAAAGUUGAUUAGGUUCUAUCCCUAUUUUCAUGAACUAAGAUUUAAUUGAUUAAUUCCUAUUUAUGACUAGCUUUUGUAAAUUACCUAGCAUUAUACACCAAUUUUCUUAAAAAAAGUUUUAAUAUGAUUAAUAUCAAAAUAAAUUAGUUUUAAUUAUAACUUAUCUAGUUCAACACGACAUAUAAACAUAACAAUUAGAUGUUAUUGCAUAUAGUCUAUUUUCCAAAGUUAAAUGUUUAAAUGGCACAAUUUAUACAUGAAUAUUUAUUUAUAUAAAUAAAAGUUGACUAGGUUUUACAUCGUCUUUUCAUAUAAAAAUAUAAUUUGAAUUAACUCUCACUUAGGGUAUUUUCUAGAAGUAAUCUUUAGAUGUGUUUUCUAAAUAAAAAUAAAAGCAACAUAUAGCUCUUGUCUUUUCCUUGACAACCAAAGUUCACCUGAUACGUGUAUGUUUUCAAUGGUAGCAUCGCUCUUAGUGUUUCAUGUGCCUUCGUGAUCUUAGAAUCGAGCCCUAUCCUUUAGUACGCUCUUUUAAAACUUUUUCUUUGAUUGGUGUAUUGUUCUUAGUUUUACUUGUUUGUUUGCUUGUAUGGCUGUGCCGGUGAUUGCUCCGAGUAGAAGGAUUGCUGUUCAAAAGCUUUGAAGAUUAAUAGUUCCAAGAGAGUAAGAGUAGAAAAGCAGUAAGAACAACUUUUCUUUGGAGAAAGGCAAGUGUCACUAACAAUCCUUCUAUCUAUGCUUAUUUAUAAGAAUAUCUUACAUUAAUUGGAACACGGAGCGACCACCCAGGAAAAUAGUACAACCACAAGGACUACUUGGCUCUGGUUUUGGCUAAUUAAUUAGAGACUCUAGUUUGAAGCGUUCUUACCGAAAAGGCAAGAGGGGCGGCGGCAAAUGGGGUAUAGUCCGGAUUCUAAACCAAUUUUUUUUUCUUUCCAUUCUUUCUGCUUGAACUUACUUUCCUAACAGCCAAACCUUUUCACCUAGCUACCCUCAGACUGAUCUGUCUAUGGUAGCUUCAUAGUCUUGAGAGAGGUUUAUGCUCUGCUAAUGAUCCGGAAAUCUUAGCGAACUACUUAUUAGGGAAUCUUUGUAAAUACCUCGUAGCGUCCCUAUGCAAUUACACCUCGGUAGUGUGAUAAGUGCCUACUUUUACACAUGAUGGUUGGGUCUAAAUUUCUUCUGAACUUUUACGCGACUUGUGUUGAAAGUGUACAACCUCUGCAGAGUGUUUAAAAGCUGUUAUAACAGCCGUGCUCAUGGUUAAGAGCGGCCUGGACCCUUACAUGAUUAAUAAACUUGAAGAUGGACUUAAAUCAUUAUUCUAGUUAUUUCUUGUGGCCUUGCUGAGUACCAACCAUAAGUGUACUCACCCUUGCUAACUGCUGCUCAGAAGGAGAAUGUGUGUGAAAUUUUUUGAAGAUGAUGCUUAGUUCUACGCGUACAUAUCCCCCAGUCGAUUGCCUAUGAAGUUUGGAGCCUUCGUUUCCAGGAUUAAACUGUAUAUCUCUGAUAGACUCGUAAGUCAUUAUUUAUAUUCUUUUACGUGAUAAUGUUACUGUUAUUCACUGAUGAUGUCACUAUACGCAUGAAACUUGAUCCAUAUAGGUAGCACUUGGUUUUGUUUGAAAACCAGGUGUGACACAACCGAACGAUAACUGGAUUUUCAUGGGGAAUUUCAAAUUUAUUGCUCCUUGGAAGAUCGUAACAAAUCGGGAGGUGAUAUCCAGGACACCUUUAUCUUUAAUGAUAUCAUUGGCCACCUUGGCUUACUUGAACUUCCGAUCAAAGGAAGAGCAUAUACCUAGAGCAACAUGCAGCAAGACCCUCUCCUUGAGCAGCUUGAUUGGUUUUUCACUAUGGUUAAUUGGACUGGUGACUACCCCAGUACCAUGGUUCUUCCAUUGGCUAAACCAAUAUCAAAUCAUAUUCCAUGCAAAGUAAUGAUAGGGACGUCUAUCCCAAAAUCAAGAAUUUUUAGGUUCGAAAAUUUCUAGACUAAGGUGGAUGGGUUUUAUGACACUGUUCAAUCUUGUUGGACAGUGAUACCCAGACACAAGAUGGGUUCAGCCCCAAGAUUGGCAACGAAGCUUAAGAAUCUAAGGCAUUCUCUCAAACAGUGGAGAAGAAACAUCUCAAAUUUGCGCAAGUUGAUAGAUAAGUGUAACAAGGUCAUUCUCUUCUUUGAUAGUUUGGGGGAUUGUAGGCCUCUUUAUGCCAUUGAAUGGAACUUUAGGGGGCUAAUCAAGGAUCCUUUACUGCAGCACAUGAAAUUUAGAAAUUCAAAAAUAUGUACUGGUAGAAGAGAUUUACAGCCAAUAGGAUCAAACUUGGAGAUGAGUGUACAAAAUUCUUUCAUGCCAUGGCAACUGUUUCCAAUAGGAGAAACCUGAUUUCAUAGCUUAAGGAUGAAGAUGAAAUGGAAGUAUUUGAUCAUGAGGGGAAAGAAUCUAUGAUAUGGAAUGCUUUUAAAGGCAGAAUGGGUAUCUCAUCAAAUCCUACUAUGCUUUUUGAUCUACAAGACCUAAUUUCACUAGAUGUUGAUAUGUCUUGCCUGAUACAACCAUUCUCCAGGGAGAAAAUCGAUAGAAUUGUGGCCAUAAUGCCUCCUGAUAAAGCACUAGGUCCAGAUGGUUUUAAUGGUCUAUUCAUUAAGAAGUGCUGGCCAAUCAUAAAGGAGGAUUUCUAUAAAUUUUGCCAAGAUUUCUUUGAUGGAACAGUUGAUCUGAAGUUAAUAAAAAGCUCUUUCAUCACUCUGAUCCCCAAAAACAAUAGCCGUAAAACUAUCAAUGACUUCAGACCUAUUUCUUUACUCAAUUGUAGUAUCAAAAUACUGACAAAAAUCCUAGCCGAGAGGCUUCAAUUAGUUAUCCUUUUGCUCCUACACAAAAAUUAGUAUGGCUUCCUCCGCUCCAGGUCCAUUCAAGAUUGUCUUGCUUGGUGCUUUGAAUACAUCCACAAGUGUCACCAAUCUAAAAGGGAAAUCAUCAUCUUGAAAUUAGAUUUUGCAAAGGCCUUCAACACUGUGGAACAUUCAACAAUGUUGGAAAUUAUGAAACAUAUGGGGUUUCUAGAUAAAUGGUUGACUUGGGUACGAUUGCUUUUCUCUUGAGGAACAUCUGCAGUCCUGCUCAAUGGGGUGCUAGGGAAGCAAUUUAAGUGUAAACAUAGCAAGGAGAUCCUCUAUCCCCUCCUCUUCAUCCUAGCAGUAGAACUGUUACAAUUGGUAGUCAACAGAGCUUUUCAUGACAAUCAGCUUACAGCUCCCCUUCCACAAACACACCAUGACUUCCCAAUAGUCCAAUACGCGGAUGACACCAUUCUAAUUAUGCAGGCAGAUAGUGCGCAUUUAGAAUACCUGAAAGGCAUUCUACAUGUAUUUUCAGAGUCCAUAGGCCUCAAAGUUAAAUACAAUAAGUCAUCAACGGUUCCCAUUAAUGUUUCAGAGGACAAAAUAUCUCAGCUUGCAUCUGAAUUUGGGUGUUAGAUUGGGAGUAUGCCCUUCACCUAUCUUGGUCUACCGAUGGGAACAACUAAACCAAGAAUAGAAGAUUUUUCACCAAUCGUGGAUAGAAUUGAGAGAAGAUUAACUGCUUGCUCAUCUCUCUUGUCUCUGUUAGGUAGACUACAAAUGGUAAAUUCAGUUAUCACCCCAACUAUUCUAUAUCCAAUGUGCACUCUGAAACUUCAUAAAGGGGUCAUUGAAAGCAUUGAUAGGGCCAGGAAACAGUGCCUUUGGAGAGGAAAUGACCUGAACAACAAAGGAGAGAAUUUAGCUGCAUGGCCCAUGGUCACUUUGCCAAAACAAAAAGGUGGCCUUGGGGGUCAUUAACUUAAGGGUUCAGAAUGAUGCUCUCUUGUUAAAACACCUUGACAAGUUCUAUGGGAAACAAGACAUUCCUUGGAUAAACUUGAUCUGGUCAACAUACUAUGCAGACAAAGUGCCUCAAGCCACCAGAGAAGUUGGGUCAUUCUAGUGGAAAGAUAUUCUACGAUUGAGUACUCACUUUAGGGGAAUAGCUAGGUGUGUGUUGGGUGAUGGAUCGGCAAUCAUGUUUUGGAAAGAUUUAUGGAGCUCUAGCAUCAUUGCAGACCUUUACCCCGGGCUGUUUUCCUUUGUGAGAAAUCCUAACUAGUCAGUUAAAGAGGUUAUGGCAGCGCCGGACUUGUCCACCCUCUUUACCCUACCUCUCUCGCAAGAAGCUUUUGAACACAUGAUAGCUCUCCAAACUUACCUGCAAGCUUUCUCUUAUGAGGAAGACUCAAAAGAUCAAUGGAUUUAUAUUUGGGGGAAUGGAACCUACACCUCAGCCAAGUUCUACAGGUUUGCCUUUGCUGGCCUGUAGGUACCCCCAACGUUCACAUGGCUAUUGAAAUCAAAAUGUACUCCCCAAGUCAAACUUUUCACAUGGCUACUCCCGGUGGAUCAUCUCAACACAAGGAAUAUGUUGCGUAGAAGAAUCUUAAAUGUCCAAUCAGGAGUAAACUGUGUCCUAUGUAACAUGGUAGUCGAAGAAGAUAGGGACCAUCUGUUUUUUUACUGUCCCUUCUCGACUAGAUGUUGGUCGAAGCUGCAGGAUGAAAACACAGAGAUUCACGCCAAAAUAUCUAUGACGAGAGAUGUCGCAGGACAGCAAUUCUUCAUGGAAUCCUUCGUCCUGGCCGCGUGGAAAAUCUGGAAAUUGUGCAAUGAUGUUAUCUUCGAUGUUGUGCGUCCAAGUUUUAAUCUCUAGGCUAUGAAGUUUAGAGAAGAAGCUACUCUCCAAGCUAUUCGUUUUAGGGAGGAUCGUCGAGGUCUUUUCUUGCAAUGGCUUAAUUCAGUGUUGUUAUUUUGCUAUGAUGUAACCCCUCCUCCCUCCUCGCCCCCUCCCCUUCCUGCUCCCCCCUAUCAUGUAAGUAUGUCCCUCUUUCUUUUGGAACCUUUUCUGACUUUCUAACCCUAAUGAAAAUUGAAGUACCGUGGGAAACUCCCCCACAGUUUGCCCUUCAAAAAAGUGAUAGGGAGGUCACCAUGCCACUGCUGAGGUCACCUAGGGAGGUUACCAUGCCACUGCUAAGGUCGCCCAUGGGCCCCGCUCGCUCACCGCAGGUUGCCAUCUCUUGUUUGCUGAUGACCACAAUGUGCCUCCGCUCUGUAGCUCGUCACCGUGCGGGUAAGCUACACUGGCGUGCACCACAAUGUUGCAGCUUCGUGUAGUCACGUGCAUGAGUUAUGCUGCUGCAUGUCACUGCUUCAUGUUGCUGCACGAGUGAGCUAUACAUACCAGCAUGCGCCGCAUCUGCCUCAACUACCUCAUUUGCCACCUCACUCGCUGACGGCCUCCUCGCUUAGGUCUCUGCAAGAAGAUGUGGUCAAGGCCACCGACAAGAUGGCGGCGGCUGUGCCUAAAAUAGAUCUAGGUAUGGCCACGUCUCGUAGCAAUGCAUGGGUAUAUUUUCUAGUCUUUUCUUAUACGGAGAUAGACAAAGAUAAUCCGAUUGGCUCACAAUUUUGUAACUGUAAGGUGCUCAUAUAUCCUGUAUAGGCUGAUGUGAUCCGGUCAGCAUAUUGGUCACCUUUAAGAUUCUAGGUCUGUUUACUCGACCUUCAUCAUGCUUCAUAUAGUCAUACGUAUUAUAUAAUAACUAAGUGGAUUUCUUUUGGACGAGGUAGUAAAUCCAGGGGGAGUUCUAUAAUAAUGGAUCAAAUUUGCAUCAUCGUCAAGACUCGGGUUCAGAAUAGUUGAUCCAAAAUGUUGAACUUGGAAAGUUGAUGCAAGACAUAUUAUCCAUAUAUGUGCAUACACAAUAUGUUUAUAUAUAUAAUAUUAUCUUAAAUAUAAUAUUAUAAAUAAAUACAACUUUAUAUAUAUUAGUGUAUUAGAAUUAGUAUACGUAAAGGAAACAAAUAUGAAAUACUAAUAUAGAAUAAAGAAACAGAAAAGAAAAUGCGAAAAAAUAGAGAAAAAAAGACAAACAACUGGUACUAAAUUAGCCUCCGCCAUGCGCGACGUGACAGCCAAUUUAGUACCAGUUGGUAUAAACAAUCGGUACUAAAGACCCCAAUUUAAUAUCAAACUAACAAUACCGGUUGCAGAACCGAUACUAAGGGGUUACAAACCGAUACUGAAGGCGCUUAUAUAUGAUGAAAUGAAAGAAAUGAAAAUGGCAAUAUAUAAUAGUUGAACGCUGUGUUUAUAUCAAUGGCAAAAUACGCAAAUCAUUGACAAAAAAUAGGUUUUUUUAUAGGGUUCGCUGGAGCUAUUAGCUAGGAAUAUAUAUAUAUGCGAUGGUGCGGUAAAUGCAAAAAGACAAUACUAGCUUUGUGAGAGACGUAUUUACAUGUUUGCGACUUGACUGGUGUCCGUGGAUUUAUUUGCAACAAUUUUCCCAAAUUUCUAUCAUCUGAAUUCUGAAAUGAAAUAAAUAAUAAUGAAUUAUCAUAUAUAGUACUAGAAAUAUGCCUAUAUAUACUUAUAUAGUAGCCUAUACAAGCCCGAACUCCCCCGUCACAAAGCAUAUAAACGGCUCUUGCAGUAGUACAUCUCACUGUACGAUAACUGCCAGCAAAUACACAUCAGUCACCUGCCAAGCUGCAAAAUUUCGUUGCACAGCUAUCUCGUCUCUGACCAGAUGGUGAGCUCUCAGCCUCUCACGCUGUUCAGCUGUGUCCGUCAUCAGCGGCAUCGUCGCUGGAGGCAUGGAAGAGGUCGAGGCGGUUGUGGCUGAGCUGGUGUGCGUACAUGGCCUUCUUGUACUCUGCCCAUGUGAAGGGCCUGUACCGCCGCGGCGUGCCGGCGGCAACCGUCUCCGGGAGCGCCGCGAUCAGCGCGCGCAGCGGCGGCGCGGCGAAGUAGAUGGUGGACAGCCGUGGCCUGGUGGUGCUGGCCAUCACCCUGUGCCGGAUGCUCACCAGCCGCCCGUUCGUCAGAGCCUGUAUGUACGUCACCCAACAGUGCCCAAGAAAACAAUAAAGAUUCAGCUAAAAUUGUGUCAAUAAGAAUUGGCGAAAUGUGCUACACACACACACAAGUAUACAAACUGACCUGGAGGAGAUCGCCGACGUUGAUGAAGAACGCGGCCGGGUCAGCCGGCACCGGGACCCACUCGUCGCCGCCGCCGCAGCCGUCGGGCAGCAGCACCUGCAGGCCGUCGACGUCGUUGGCGCGGAGAACGCUGAGGAUCUGUGGGUCGGUGUGCUCGCCGAACCCGAUGCUGCCCUUCGUGCAGCUCCGGCCACCGGGACCCUGCAGGGCGGCGGCGGAAGUAGCAUAGUGGUUGAUCCGGAGGAGGGAGUCACUGUCGACGGCGGAGAUGAGCUGGCUGAGGGACGUCGGGUCCCUGAAGCCCAGGCCCUCGCCGAGCAGGUCCAGAACCCGGCACGCGAGACGCCGCACCGCGUCCACGUACUCGUUCACUGCUACGCUGCAGAGAUGGAGACUGAAAAAUCACCCCAAAUGUUUGGCGAAUUCAUGCUAAAAUUCAGAAGAAAUGUAGCAAAGAUUUGUUUCACUCCGAUCCAAAGCAGUGGCUGUGACAAUACCAGAUGAAACUAAGAGAAAAUAAACAAUGUAGAUAACCGAUCGGAGGGUUCAAGUACAAUGCAGAGAAGGGCAGAGGUAGUUUGAGGGGUAUUUGGAUCUUUAGUUCGGACUAAAAUUCAUGUCACAUCGGAGGCUAAUUAGGAGGACUAAACAUGAGCUAAUUAUAAAACUAAUUACACAGAUGGAGGCUAAUUUGCGAGACGAAUCUAUUAAGCCUAAUUAAUCCAUCAUUAGCACAUGUUUACUGUAGCAUCACAUUGUCAAAUCAUGGACUAAUUAGGUUUAAUAGAUUUAUCUCGCAAAUUAGCCUCCAUCUGUGCAAUUUAUUUUGUAAUUAGUCUAUAUUUAAUACUCUUACUUAUUAUCUAAAUAUUCGAUGUGAUAUGAAUUUUAGGAGCUCCUAAAGAAACAAACACCCCUUAGUUGUUACAAAUUUUGAGUGACAUUUUGGGCAAGGGCAGAAGUGGGCAAGGAGCCUUUGCCUCUUUUGGGGUAAUUGGGGUGUCAAUUGUGACUACUGCGGCAAAAGGCAGAUUGGGAAAAGAUUGAUUGAUGAAAGAAACCACAGCGACUGAAAAAAGGUGCAAACCAACUAGGACACAACUUCCCCAAAAUUAGGGUUAUAGGACAGCUAAUCAGUUGUACUAAUCCCCGAGCUAACAGCUGUAGGGAAAUAAAUGUUAUUAGACAAUAAACAAAAGUUGUCUGACAUGACAUGUUGAUUUCGUCAGUGUCAACAAAUGCUGAAGGCCAAAAUUAGGAACAUGUACAGUCAGGUGUGAAGCUAAAAUAAGGAACAUGAUGCUUGAUCUAUGCAACCAUGAACAAGCUUAGUGAGUGUUGGUACAGACUCGGUUACGUAUCUGCAACUGGUCACGUACGGCGACAGAAUUUCCAACGGGCCAAGCGAUUGACAUGAUCUGUCACGCUUUCUUCGGCAUCCAAUGGGCCGGGGGCUAAUAAGGCUGCAUGUGUGGUGAAAGACCCCCAUUUGGUACGGCUCCCUGGAUGCAUACGCAGCCCUUCCACACGCCAACAGCCAAGACCACGGUUCGUACGGUCUGGCUCCUUGUGGCAUGGUGCUCGAAAUGACCUUUCCGCUUUGCACCGUCCUUCCCGAUUCUGAUCUGAUGUAAAACGCAAUGGCAGGUGCACUUGUGGAGGAUUCCUAUUUGUACCAUUGUUUAUUCCUUUGGUGUUUCACCGUGUAAAGAUGAGAAUGCAUGAUCUUUCUGCCUUUUUUCCAUUUAUGGGAUUCUUCUCUUCCACCCAGGUAGCAUAGGAGAGCAAUCAUGCAUGUCUUCCACACUCCGAUGGAACAUUUUUUUUUCUUACCUGCCCAUCAUCUGUUUACUUGUGGAUAUUUUUUCAUAACUAGAACAUGGUUCCUCUGUUCUGUUUAGGGGCGGACCCAGGUAGGCUGAUGCAAGCUUAAUACAAGAUUAAGUAUUUUGCACCUCUAUUAUUUGUAUAUUUUUUCUUAGAUCUCCAUUGUUUUUUUCAGCCUUGGACCUGGGCUGCUGCCUGGUCCUAGAUCCGCCACUGGUUCUGUUUAUGGGUCACCCGACCCCUCCCCCUUCCUUAUCUUCCUUCUCCUCCUUAAUUGACGAUUAGAAUAAUUCUUGAUUCGUGGAAUAAUUUGUUACCUCAUGUUCCGUGGGUGGCGGGAUUGCUAAUCUAGUAAUCUUCACAUGAUAUUUGUUAGUGACUAAUGUCAGGCUAGCUCAGUGUUGUAUAAUAAGUUUUCGACAUUGUAAGAUAACCUUCAGUGUAUUGUGGUCUUAAUGCAUGCAUACAAGUGUCUUAGGAUUGUAUUUAAUUUGGCGUACAAGGCUAUAAUUGGUGGAAUUGUGAAAAAACUUCUAAAGACAUGUUCACAAAAGGCUUUGAAGGUGAUGCAAAAAACUUGAAGCCCAAAAUUCCGAGACAAACUCAACUUUGUCGCUGAUAAAUAAAAUUGAAAAAAAAAACACAAAAAAUAAGAAGCAUACUAAAUUUAAGGGCAACCUCAACAUCGUUGGUGAUAUAUAAAAUACACAAAGCAGCAAAAACACAAAGAAAUGCAGUAAACUCACCUUUUUUUUCCUUUUUCUUUGUUUUCUGCAAAUUUCACAUCUCACAAAUUAAGUUGAAUUUGGGCAUGAAAUUUAUAUGGUCACAGAUUAUAUUACUGCCCUUGUUUUUAUGAAAGAUUAUAUCACUGCCUUUAUGACUCUGAACUUUCUUUUGAAUUUUUUUUUCAAAAACUUAUGAACAUGCUUUUCGGAUGUUUUCAUGAUUUCACAAAAAGCCUUGGUUCAUCGAAUAUUUUACUACUUUCAAUGUAUGGCACAUGAAAAUGGCCCUCUACAUUGACAUUGCCUUGAAUAGGGAUUCGGUUUAUCCUGGUUGCUAUUAGGAAGCAUAUUUCUUCGCUGUCAACCUUUUGUUCCAUGGUGGGUUAAGCUGGACCUUGGGAAGUCUAAAUUCUACUAGACACAUUCAGAAGCACAAUACUGUUCUAGUAAAACUACAAUCACAAGCUUCUAAACCCCCAAUACUUCCCGCCCAGUGGACGUCGCAUCAGGUUAAUUAAUCCACUUGCUAGGAUCACAUGAAAACUCUGCUAAUAACAGACGUGCAUUAUUACCAUGGCACUGGUCUGAUCAUAUGCAUUUGUUAAUUACCUUGUACGCAAUUCAAUUUGACAAUAUUAUCGUAUGCAAUGCAAGAGACAUCAUUGCAAAUUUGCAACUCAAAGAGACCAAAUGAAGGCAGUGACAUGAUCAAGCAGCAUCAAUUGAUGAAACAUGCAAAUAAAGAGCCGAACAGAAGAAAGAAAAAGAAUAGAGAGGAGAGACGCAUGCAUGCAUAUAUAGCUGCAAAUAAAUGUACCUGAACCGCGACGGAUCCUCGGCGUCGAUGACCGUGGCCUUGCGCGCCACCGCGGCGGGGUCCGCGUGCAGGAUGAGGUACUCGAGCUCGCCGACGUCGCCGUUGCCCCCGAUGUUCCGGCUGCCGUACCCGAGCGGGUCCGGCGGCCCGGCUGCCUGCUUCGCCCGCGCGGGGCGCGCGAAGAACGCCGACGCCGCGGCGUCCAGCCGCGCGGCGGCGCGCGCCGGCACGCCGUGGUUGACGGCCUUGAAGAAGCCGCGCUCCGCGCAGGCCCGCACCAGCCGGCGCGCCAGGUCGCCGCGCCCCGACGGCGCCGACAUGUCCACCGUCGGGAUAAUGCCGAGCGGGAGCGACUCCGGCGCCAUGUCCCGGCUCGCCGCCGACGGCACGACCAUGGCGAGGGACCGAUAAUGGCAGUGAGGAUGCGGCCGGAGUGGUGCAGGUGCCACUGCAGUGGCGCGCGUAUAUAUGGGGAGUGCGCGCGUGGAGAGAUUCCGCUUGGAAUGCUGACAGUUUGUGCUGGUUUUGACCUGGUGUCUUGGCUCGAGCUUGGUUUUGUCACGGAUGAUGAUCAAACGAGGAAGCAGGUUGGAUGAUCCCUCCCUUUCGCCAGAUUGCAGGCUGUGAUCUAUUUUAUUCCCUGGACCUCUGCCGAUGCACUCAUGCACAGGCGUGGUGGGUAAAGGAGUGCAGAUCCUCUGUGGCUGUAAUGUUGAAGUACUAGAUACAGAGAGCUUUCUUUUCCCCCAGUGAAGAGUUAGGUUAGUCGCUACUGAUGUGAGUUAAGUUGUUCUUGUAACAACCCCAAAGUUAGAUAUCUAAUUUUUAGAGCCAAGGCUUGUACAUCAGAGCCCAAAACCAAGCAUAUACAGCUGAUCCGCUCAACAAGAAGCCGGGUUUCAUCAAUUCUCGCUAAGAUCAGUCUCAAUUAAUGGAAGUGUCACGGGAGUUUGGGCAUUUAAUCCCAAGCCACAUCAGCAAAACUGCUGACAUGACAGGCUAUUUAUGAGGAGAGAGGAGAGGGAAGUUUCAUCCCAUGAAAUCCACUUAGCACAGUUACCAAGUCUCAUGAAAUUCAAUGAAACUUACAUUGAGCAUGUUAUAGUUUCAUGGCAUGACAUAUUUGGUCAUAAGACAACGCAAAAAUUAAAUGAUUUAGGCUAUCUAUGAAACUGUGUGAUGAAACUAUGCACUGAGAGUGAUAGUUUUAUUUCAUUGAAAAGCUGGCAUGACACUCUUAGUAAUAGUAUGAUGAAACCAUGCACUGAGAUAAUAUACUUUGCAAUUACAAGUUUGUGAGUAAAUAUUAGAAAGUCUAGUAGAAAAUGGUGCAACAGCUUGUGCACACGUGUAUAUAUAGGAUGAUGUAGACCCAAUCACACCCAUCUUAAAAUGGGUAAAUAUUGGUGAUGAGCCCCAUGAAGAAAUAAGGCUGAGGCAAGUUUAUUCCCACUGAUAAUAUUGGAGAUAUGUUAUGCAAUUUUAUGGACUAGAGUUUAAGUUGAGUAUAUGUUAUGCAAUUUUAUGGACUAGAGUUUAAGUUCAGUGAUAGCUCAAUCUGCAUGUUUUUGUUCUGCUAUCGCUGUUGUUAUUUAUACCAUGUGUCCCCGUUUUAUGUUCAUAAACUAUCUCUUCUUCAAAAAAAAAUUUAGCUAGGUGAGUAUCAGUAUAUCACUAUUGCAAAGAACGAACCUCAUCCGUGCCGGC
This 41847-nucleotide long non-coding RNA is filed under the name Setaria italica (foxtail millet). RNAcentral describes it as "long non-coding RNA (SITA_LNC003635)". The record is from RNAcentral. Lineage: Eukaryota; Viridiplantae; Streptophyta; Magnoliopsida; Poales; Poaceae.